This 253-nucleotide ribosomal RNA is filed under the name uncultured bacterium. RNAcentral describes it as "partial 16S ribosomal RNA". It matches the Rfam family "Bacterial small subunit ribosomal RNA", at positions 524 to 776 of the family's 1533-position model. The record is from RNAcentral.
UACGUAGGGUGCAAGCGUUAAUCGGAAUUACUGGGCGUAAAGCGUGCGCAGGCGGUUUGGUAAGUCAGAUGUGAAAUCCCCGGGCUCAACCUGGGAACUGCAUUUGAGACUGUCAAGCUGGAGUUUGGCAGAGGGGGGUGGAAUUCCACGUGUAGCAGUGAAAUGCGUAGAGAUGUGGAGGAACACCGAUGGCGAAGGCAGCCCCCUGGGCCAAUACUGACGCUCAUGCACGAAAGCGUGGGGAGCAAACAGG